AAAUGUUUCCCCUCCUGCAGAAGGAAAGCCCUCAGUGUUCUUAGUUCUAGUGCGUGGCAGAGCUACCUGUCUGGGCUAACCCACAUCCCUCUUGACAUUUAAGAUUAAAAGAAGAAGAAAAAUUCCCAGGAUCACUUUUUGUUUGCUUUGCGCAAAAAGAGAAAGAAAAAGGUGAGGCUUGGCCGUAAACAUAGCAACGGUAACCAAGGAGCGCGAUGCAGUCGCACCUCUGUGAGACACACACACACACACACACACACACACCUUUGCCACACUAACCAGAACGCACGCACACGUCGAUACCCGCCCAGAACGGGGCUGUGGUUACCCUGAGAUCGCGUCUGACAUCAGAUAAACGUCAGUUAUAUUGCCUGCUUACAUUGUCAGAUAUUCAGCCCACAUGAGAAAUACUGGAACUUCCACUUGAAAAUGUUUUUUUUUUUCUUCGUCGUCGUCGUUUUCAAGUGUCCCUGUCCAUAUCUGCUUUGUUUACCCCGCCGGUUGCUUGGAUACAAGCAGCUGAGAGCGCAGGUGCUGAAUCAGUUGUGUAAAUGUGCUGCGCAUUGCCCCCUAUCUGCGGACUGGGGAAGUGUCGCGUCAGCAUUGGUCAGCUGAUGCAGUCGGCUGACCCCGUAAAAUACUGUAAAAAAUAAAAGAACUUUCCCAA
Molecule: long non-coding RNA, 667 nt
Organism: Xiphophorus couchianus (Monterrey platyfish)
Lineage: Eukaryota; Metazoa; Chordata; Actinopteri; Cyprinodontiformes; Poeciliidae
Exons: 2
Source: RefSeq, a predicted model, not a curated record